Molecule: ribosomal RNA, 115 nt
Filed under: Pteropus alecto (black flying fox)
Lineage: Eukaryota; Metazoa; Chordata; Mammalia; Chiroptera; Pteropodidae
Source: RNAcentral
GUCUAUGGCCAUGCCAUCUUGAACAAGCCAAUGUCUGAUCUCGGAAGCUAAGCAGGGUCGGGCCUGGUUAGUACUUGGAUGGGAGACCACCUAAGAAGACCUGGUGCUGUAGGCA